RNAcentral lists this ribosomal RNA (443 nucleotides) under uncultured bacterium. RNAcentral's name for it is "bacterial SSU rRNA". It matches the Rfam family "Bacterial small subunit ribosomal RNA", at positions 28 to 507 of the family's 1533-position model. The record is from RNAcentral.
GAUGAACGCUGGCGGCGUGCCUAAUACAUGCAAGUCGAGCGGUAAGGCCUCUUCGGAGGUACACGAGCGGCGGACGGCUGAGUAACACGUAGGAACGUACCCCAAACUGAGGGAUAAGCACCAGAAAUGGUGUCUAAUACCGCAUGUGCUCUAAGGAGUAAAGCUUCGGCGGUUUGGGAACGGCCUGCGCACGAUUAGAUUGUUGGUGAGGUAAUGGCUCACCAAGUCGACGAUCGUUAGCUGGUCUGAGAGGAUGAUCAGCCAGACUGGGACUGAGACACGGCCCAGACUCCUACGGGAGGCAGCAGUGGGGAAUCUUGCACAAUGGAGGAAACUCUGAUGCAGCGAUGCCGCGUGAGUGAAGAAGGCCUUUGGGUUGUAAAGCUCUUUUGUAGGGGAAGAUAAUGACUGUACCCUAAGAAUAAGGUCCGGCUAACUUCGUG